Molecule: ribosomal RNA, 459 nt
Filed under: uncultured bacterium
Lineage: Bacteria
Description: partial 16S ribosomal RNA
Rfam family: Bacterial small subunit ribosomal RNA
Source: RNAcentral
CCUACGGGUGGCAGCAGUGAGGAAUAUUGGUCAAUGGUCGGGAGACUGAACCAGCCAAGCCGCGUGAGGGAUGAAGGUACAGAGUAUCGUAAACCUCUUUUGUCAGGGAACAAAGGCUGGGACGUGUCCCCGGAUGAGUGUACCUGAACAAAAAGCAUCGGCUAACUCCGUGCCAGCAGCCGCGGUAAUAGGGAGGAUGCGAGGGUUAUCCGGAUUUAUUGGGUUAAAAGGGUGCGCAGGCGGUCUGUUAAGUCCGCGGUAAAAGCCCGGGGCCCAACCCCGGACCGCCGUUGAAACUGGCAGUCUCGAGUUGGAGAGAAGUAUGCGGAAUGCGCGGUGUAGCGGUGAAAUGCAUAGAUAUCGCGAAGAACUCCGAUUGCGAAGGCAGCAUGCCGGCUCCACACUGACGCUGAGGCACGAAAGCGUGGGUAUCGAACAGGAUUAGAUACCCGAGUAGUC